UGCGGAGCUUUUCCUUUGGCUAAAGAUAUCCUGAGGAUCUCUCUGCUCUCAAAUUACAGCUGGUUUCGUCACUUGGAAGCCAGGGAACAAGUUUGGAAAAGAACCUCUCACCAGGUCUCCACUAUUAAAGAUACUUAGCAUCAUGGAAACAUAGACCAAAGGAGUUUUCUUACUGUUUAUGCCAAGUGGAAGACCAAGGCCUAUUUUCACUCUAUCCCAGAAGAAAACUACAACUUCCUUCAGUUGAAAGACUGGACUGUUGGACUCAAGAGCUACAUUGCUUCAUUCCUUUUUCUCUGGGACAUUCAGAAAUGACAACAGAUGGAUUCAUAUUGGCUGCUUGGCCAAAGAAGCGAAGAGGAAUUUACUCUGAUUCAUUCCAUUUCUUGCACAAUCUCUCUCUGACUUACUAACCAAUUCAAUUAAGCAAACCUAUAUUAAGCACUUACUACUUGCUCCCCACUUGCAGGGUGCAGUAUUAAGGUAACUACAGACACAAAGAUGUGCAAUAAGAAGUUUCAGCCUACAAAGAGCUUGCUCCCUGGUUGAAGAGUCGGGCAUAUACCCAUAUAAAGUUAUCAUACGAAGGGUGAAGAGUGUGAAGAGUGUUUACUUUCUUCCUGCAAAGACCUCAUCUAAAGAUACACACUCCAUAUUGUGUAUUAGAAAGGAAUCAUUUUUGUACAAAUAACUAAAAGUCCACUUCAGUCUAACUAAGGGCAUUAACUUACAGGAAGCCUAAGAUUAGAUAUUCAGAGAAGGCCUAGUCCAACCUAGUUUUUCUCUCACUAUUUCUUGGUUUAUGUCCUCAGCUUAUAUUCAUGCAUGGGCAGUCUCUUUCGUUUGUGUUCUAAGAUGAUUACCAGUGUCUUCCAGAGCUUUGUGCUUCUUUAUUCAUAUGUAACAGGAAUGACAGAUUGAAUUUCCUGGUAGCUCAAAUGCAGCUCCCUCAAAUCAGCCUCAGUGGUCAUGGGUGGCCUGAUUUGGAUCAUGAAUAUGUCUUCAAACCAGGCUUACUGUAGUGAGAUUUGGGAUUAAACCACUUUGCUUAAGACAAUAAGGGCCCCAUUCUGUAGCUGAAGGCAAGGUAUCAAGCAAACUAUAUGGCUGGGUUAUUUAGUGUUCUGUUAAGGAAAGGAACAGUAUGGGAGUACAUUCUGGGGAAGUAACCAUGAAUAAUUCCCCUACCUUAUGGUUUUGUCUUCAUUAACCACAUCGAAGAGAAACUGCCACCCUUGCUGAUAAGUGUUGAUCAGUUGGGUAUAUGGAGGAAAACACCCUGAUUUGUAGUAUUUGUUGAUUUCCUUAGUCUAAAUACUCUCACAAUGGCUAAUGUCAUUGAACUCAAAGUUGGGAA
RNAcentral lists this long non-coding RNA (1357 nucleotides) under Homo sapiens (human). RNAcentral's name for it is "HSALNT0173235". Lineage: Eukaryota; Metazoa; Chordata; Mammalia; Primates; Hominidae. The record is from RNAcentral.